UUCAAUGGCAUCCUCCUCUCCUCAAGUGACCGACUCUGACGCCGAGAAGAGUUCCUCUGCAACGCCAUCGAAGAGCUUCAGCGUCGUGCUGCUGCUCACGUCCACCACCACCACCUCGACUCCCUUCCCUGCAAUCACGGCCCUGACAAGUCCGGCGUCGCCCAUGCCAUUGGUUUAUUAUUUCGCUGAAUUCGUUCAUUCUUUCGCUGAAUUGUCUCUCUCCUUUCCCGAAUUCAUUCUUGUUUGUGAAAUCAUUUGCUCAUCCAAACCUGGGGUCUGUCUCUACCUUCUUUCUUCUUGGGCUUCUUCAUACUCAUAAGGACUAGCAUAUGUGGACUUUUUGGAUAAUGAGAGAACCUUCCUGCAGCAGUAGCUAAGAACAUGCACUGGUUACUUGGGAAGAAGUUGAGCAUUGCACGGUCUGAACCAAAGCAAGGUGGGAAGGAAUCUUCUAAUCUAAAAACCUUGAAAGAACAUGUAGGACCUCAAGUAUUGAGCACAAGGUUUAACAGAUUCAACAAAUUCAGUUCAUAAUCAGCUGGUGGUGGGCAGAGAUCAAAAGGAAGGUGGUUGUGAAGGGAGUAAAGUGGAAGAAACCAUAGCUGCAUGCAAGGUCGAAGUUUUUGUGAGCAAAGCCAAGCAUUAUGAAUAAUGGGACAGCACCACACCAUUCUCUAGUAGGACAGCAACUCCAACAUAUGGCAUAGCUCAAGUUCAUCUGCUACAUAGACACCCUGCUGGUCACAAUGAUAGCUUACAAAAUUCUCCAAGAUCAUUAAACUAUGAAAAUGAACAAUGGGAUGUUGAAGGUUCACCCCUAGCAACCAUAAAGGAACAGAUGAGACCCAUAUGAAAGUUUUGGAGCCAAGUUCAGCAACAGAAUUGCCUAUUAGCUCUCAAUAUGAAAUCAGCAUUAGUUUAUUAGAAUUUUCUUUUGAGUAGAGACUUGAUGUGUGGUUAAUGUUGCUACCAAGUUGAAAUGAGAUCUUAUAAAGCUUUAUGUAAAAUCUCAGCUGUUGAGUUUGCUUUUUCUUUUAUGUAAAAGACAUCUU
Gastrolobium bilobum is the source of this 1052-nucleotide long non-coding RNA. RefSeq lists it as uncharacterized. The record is from RefSeq and is a predicted model, not a curated record. NCBI's taxonomy places the organism in Eukaryota, Viridiplantae, Streptophyta, Magnoliopsida, Fabales, Fabaceae. The transcript is spliced from 5 exons.